This 460-nucleotide ribosomal RNA is filed under the name uncultured bacterium. Its description in RNAcentral is "partial 16S ribosomal RNA". It matches the Rfam family "Bacterial small subunit ribosomal RNA", at positions 338 to 795 of the family's 1533-position model. The record is from RNAcentral.
CCUACGGGAGGCAGCAGUGGGGAAUAUUGGUCAAUGGACGAGAGUCUGAACCAGCAACGUAGCGUGAAGGAUGACUGCCCUAUGGGUUGUACACUUCUUUUAUAUGGAAAUAGAAUGUUGCACUUGUCGAAUAUUCUAUGUCCCAUAUGGUUCAGGCUGCGCUAAUUCCGUGUCAGGAGCCACGGUAAUACGGAUGGUCCGGGCGUUAUCCGGAUUUAUUGGGUUUAAGGGGAGCGUAGGUGGAUCGUUAAGUCAGGUGUGAAAGUUUGCGGCUCAACCGUAAGAUUGCAGUUGAAACUGGGAGGCUUGAGUACAGUAGAGGUGGGCGGAAUUCGUGGUGUAGCGGUGAAAUGCUUAGAUAUCACGAAGAACUCCGAUGGCGAAGGCAGCUCACUGGACUGCAACUGACACUGAGGCUCGAAAGUGUGGGUAGCAAACAGGAUUAGAUACCCUUGUAGUC